GUAUUAUUAGUACUGGCUAUAUUUAUAAUUGUUAUACUGGCCCUAGCUUUGUACAUAAAAAGAACUAACAUUAAUCAAAAAAGAAAAUCAGAUAAUGACAUUGUAAUGGAAUGCAGUCCAGCUUAUGCUACAACUGAAUUUAAAACAAAUACUGCUGAUGAUAUACUAAUGAAGGAUAGUCCAGCAUAC
Molecule: long non-coding RNA, 189 nt
Organism: Amphimedon queenslandica
Lineage: Eukaryota; Metazoa; Porifera; Demospongiae; Haplosclerida; Niphatidae
Exons: 3
Source: RefSeq, a predicted model, not a curated record